CCUUCCCAUCCUCGUCCGUAUCAUAUAUUUAUCCCCCGCCUUUCCCUCUGAUGGGACUCGAGGCGACUUGCAUAUCAAAACAUAGAAAGACCCAUUCGACGGGAACAGAAUUAAAUCUGUUUUUAAAAAAGAAAAAAGAAAGCACAGUGCCUCAAAGUCCUGCAAUCCAAGUUUCUAAAUUUAACUGGUGCAGAAAGUGAGACUUUGGUUAUAUGACUGUGUUUUUCAUUCCUAUGACUGCACACACGUCUGCUUGGAACCUCCAUGGUGGCUCCUGAUAUUUACUCUUCAAAUAGUUAUAUAACCCACCAAAUACUUUUCAGGAAAGAGAUUUGCCUUGGCACAUAUCCAGCAAACAUGCCGCAGCAUGGGAGCUGGAGAACUUGGAAAAGAACUUUACCCAUAGAGAUCAGAUAAGGACCCUUAUCUCCUAAUUAUGCAGGUUAGAGUUGGUAUGUUAGUAACGCAUAUUUAGCAUUUUAAAAUAUCGAAUGGCAAUAUCCCAGGUGCAGUAGGCAGAGACAGAAGUUGAACAUUAAUCUUUUAUUAUUAUUUUAUAGCUCUCGUAUACAUCUUAAUUUCUUGACUGAUGUGACCUGGGCACAAUGUGCUUUACCAGUUGCUUUACAUGGUUUGGAACAAUACGAAAGAGCAGGGGCUGAAGACAGCUGAAAGUGGGGAAAUCAUUGUAUUCAUUCACAGAGGGGCAUCUUAAAGGCCACCAAGUCCCACCCCUGCUCUGUGCAGGAGGCAUUUCUAGCCACUGCUUCUAGGCAUCCCUGUGAGGCAACAUUCCCAACUCUUUCAGCCAUUCCUCAAAGGACUCCAGGUAGCCCUCUUAUGGACACUCUACAGGGUGUCAACAUAUUGUUAAAAUAUCCCUCUUGGGACACUGAAAUAAUGUGAGUAGAGGUUGUGGGUGUGCAUGUGGCCUUCCCCGAGCCCUCUGCUCUUAACCUUCAUGCGCUCCAUGUCCACAUGAUCGGGAACCCUGUGCAAUUCUGGUCCUCCCCUCUCAGCCCCCCAGGACGGCCUGUGGAAGAGAAAUCCAACUGCAACAGAGGGCACCCCUCUGCUUGCGCCCACCCUUCCCUACUUGAACUCUCUGCUUUUUCUUUUUUUCUUUUUGUUCUUG
Non-coding RNA from Podarcis muralis (Common wall lizard), 1135 nucleotides. The record is from RefSeq and is a predicted model, not a curated record. NCBI's taxonomy places the organism in Eukaryota, Metazoa, Chordata, Lepidosauria, Squamata, Lacertidae.